Molecule: ribosomal RNA, 250 nt
Filed under: uncultured bacterium
Lineage: Bacteria
Description: partial 16S ribosomal RNA
Rfam family: Bacterial small subunit ribosomal RNA
Source: RNAcentral
UACGGAGGAUCCGAGCGUUAUCCGGAUUUAUUGGGUUUAAAGGGUGCGUAGGCGGCCUAUUAAGUCAGGGGUGAAAGACGGCAGCUUAACUGUCGCAGUGCCUUUGAUACUGAUAGGCUUGAAUGUGGUUGAAGAUGGCGGAAUGAGACAAGUAGCGGUGAAAUGCAUAGAUAUGUCUCAGAACACCGAUUGCGAAGGCAGCUGUCUAAGUCAUUAUUGACGCUGAUGCACGAAAGCGUGGGGAUCGAAC